UACGUAGGGUGCAAGCGUUGUCCGGAAUUAUUGGGCGUAAAGAGCUCGUAGGCGGUUUGUCGCGUCUGCUGUGAAAACUGGGGGCUCAACCCCCAGCCUGCAGUGGGUACGGGCAGACUAGAGUGCGGUAGGGGAGAUUGGAAUUCCUGGUGUAGCGGUGGAAUGCGCAGAUAUCAGGAGGAACACCGAUGGCGAAGGCAGAUCUCUGGGCCGUAACUGACGCUGAGGCGCGAAAGCGUGGGGAGCAAACAGG
Molecule: ribosomal RNA, 253 nt
Filed under: uncultured bacterium
Lineage: Bacteria
Description: partial 16S ribosomal RNA
Rfam family: Bacterial small subunit ribosomal RNA
Source: RNAcentral